This 496-nucleotide ribosomal RNA is filed under the name uncultured bacterium. Its description in RNAcentral is "partial 16S ribosomal RNA". It matches the Rfam family "Bacterial small subunit ribosomal RNA", at positions 28 to 506 of the family's 1533-position model. The record is from RNAcentral.
GAUGAACGCUGGCGGCGUGCCUAAUACAUGCCAGUCGAGCGAACAGACGAGGAGCUUGCUCCUCUGACGUUAGCGGCGGACGGGUGAGUAACACGUGGAUAACCUACCUAUAAGACUGGGAUAACUUCGGGAAACCGGAGCUAAUACCGGAUAAUAUAUUGAACCGCAUGGUUCAAUAGUGAAAGACGGUUUUGCUGUCACUUAUAGAUGGAUCCGCGCCGCAUUAGCUAGUUGGUAAGGUAACGGCUUACCAAGGCAACGAUGCGUAGCCGACCUGAGAGGGUGAUCGGCCACACUGGAACUGAGACACGGUCCAGACUCCUACGGGAGGCAGCAGUAGGGAAUCUUCCGCAAUGGGCGAAAGCCUGACGGAGCAACGCCGCGUGAGUGAUGAAGGUCUUCGGAUCGUAAAACGCUGUUAUUAGGGAAGAACAAAUGUGUAAGUAACUAUGCACGUCUUGACGGUACCUAAUCAGAAAGCCACGGCUAACUACGU